RNAcentral lists this ribosomal RNA (200 nucleotides) under uncultured bacterium. RNAcentral's name for it is "partial 16S ribosomal RNA". It matches the Rfam family "Bacterial small subunit ribosomal RNA", at positions 28 to 224 of the family's 1533-position model. The record is from RNAcentral.
GGUGAACGCUGGCGGUAGGCCUAACACAUGCAAGUCGAACGGCAGCACAGGAGAGCUUGCUCUCUGGGUGGCGAGUGGCGGACGGGUGAGGAAUACAUCGGAAUCUACCUUUUCGUGGGGGAUAACGUAGGGAAACUUACGCUAAUACCGCAUACGACCUACGGGUGAAAGUGGGGGACCGCAAGGCCUCACGCGAUUAG